RNAcentral lists this transfer RNA (161 nucleotides) under Glossina morsitans morsitans. RNAcentral's name for it is "tRNA tRNA-Tyr". It matches the Rfam family "tRNA". Rfam says of the family: Transfer RNA (tRNA) molecules are approximately 80 nucleotides in length. Their secondary structure includes four short double-helical elements and three loops (D, anti-codon, and T loops). Lineage: Eukaryota; Metazoa; Arthropoda; Insecta; Diptera; Glossinidae. The record is from RNAcentral.
CCUUCGAUAGCUCAGUUGGUAGAGCGGUGGACUGUAGUACAAGUUGCAUUCAAAAAACAUCAAGAUUGACUGUCUACCUUGGGCGCCGCUUGCGGCGCCCAUUGUAUACAGUGUUAGGUGCAGACAUCCAUAGGUCGCUGGUUCAAAUCCGGCUCGAAGGA